UGUAGUCAUAUGCUUGUCUCAAAGAUUAAGCCAUGCAUGUCUAAGUAUAAGCAAUCUAUACAGUGAAACUGCGAAUGGCUCAUUAAAUCAGUUAUCGUUUAUUUGAUAGUACCUUACUACUUGGAUAACCGUGGUAAUUCUAGAGCUAAUACAUGCUAAAAACCUCGACUUCGGAAGGGGUGUAUUUAUUAGAUAAAAAACCAAUGCCCUUCGGGGCUCCUUGGUGAUUCAUGAUAACUUAACGAAUCGCAUGGCCUUGUGCCGGCGAUGGUUCAUUCAAAUUUCUGCCCUAUCAACUUUCGAUGGUAAGGUAUUGGCUUACCAUGGUUUCAACGGGUAACGGGGAAU
This 348-nucleotide ribosomal RNA is filed under the name uncultured fungus. RNAcentral describes it as "SSU rRNA". It matches the Rfam family "Eukaryotic small subunit ribosomal RNA", at positions 21 to 370 of the family's 1831-position model. Lineage: Eukaryota; Fungi. The record is from RNAcentral.